RNAcentral lists this ribosomal RNA (253 nucleotides) under uncultured bacterium. RNAcentral describes it as "partial 16S ribosomal RNA". It matches the Rfam family "Bacterial small subunit ribosomal RNA", at positions 524 to 776 of the family's 1533-position model. The record is from RNAcentral.
UACGUAGGGGGCGAGCGUUGUUCGGAAUUACUGGGCGUAAAGGGCGCGUAGGCGGUCCUUCAAGUCAGGCGUGAAAGCCCCGGGCUCAACCUGGGAACCGCGCUUGAGACUGGCGGACUCGAGUUCGGGAGAGGAUGGUGGAAUUCCCAGUGUAGAGGUGAAAUUCGUAGAUAUUGGGAAGAACACCGAUGGCGAAGGCAGCCAUCUGGACCGACACUGACGCUGAGGCGCGAAAGCGUGGGGAGCAAACAGG